This 882-nucleotide ribosomal RNA is filed under the name Hypotrachyna physcioides. RNAcentral's name for it is "eukaryotic LSU rRNA". It matches the Rfam family "Eukaryotic large subunit ribosomal RNA", at positions 71 to 967 of the family's 3401-position model. Lineage: Eukaryota; Fungi; Ascomycota; Lecanoromycetes; Lecanorales; Parmeliaceae. The record is from RNAcentral.
GGGAUUGCCUCAGUAACGGCGAGUGAAGCGGCAACAGCUCAAAUUUGAAAUCUGGCCCCUUCGGGGUCCGAGUUGUAAUUUGUAGAGAGUGUUUCGGGUGAGACCACGGUCUAAGUCUAUUGGAACAUUACGUCAUAGAGGGUGAGAACCCCGUAUGUGACCGUGGCUCGAGCCCAUGUGAAGCCUCUUCGACGAGUCGAGUUGUUUGGGAAUGCAGCUCAUAAUGGGUGGUAAAUUUCAUCUAAAGCUAAAUACUGGCUGGAGACCGAUAGCGCACAAGUAGAGUGAUCGAAAGAUGAAAAGCACUUUGGAAAGAGAGUCAAACAGUACGUGAAAUUGUUGAAAGGGAAGCGCUGGCAACCAGACCUGUCCGUAGGCGAUCAGCCGCUGUUCUCAGCGGUGCACUCGUUCUGCGAUCAGGCCAGCAUCGGUUUCGGCGGUCGGAUAAAGGCCCGGGGAACGUAGCUCCCUCCCGGGGGAGUGUUAUAGCCUCGGGCGCAAUGCGGCCAGCCGGGACCGAGGACCGCGCUUUUUGCUAGGAUGCUGGCGUAAUGGUUGUCAGCGACCCGUCUUGAAACACGGACCAAGGAGUCUAACAUCUAUGCGAGUGUUUGGGUGUCAAACCCAUGCGCGGAAUGAAAGUGAACGGAGGUGAGAACCCUUUAGGGCGCAUCAUCGACCGAUCCAGAUGUUUUCGGAUGGAUUUGAGUAUGAGCAUAGCUCUUGGGACCCGAAAGAUGGUGAACUAUGCCUGAAUAGGGUGAAGCCAGAGGAAACUCUGGUGGAGGCUCGCAGCGGUUCUGACGUGCAAAUCGAUCGUCAAAUUUGGGUAUAGGGGCGAAAGACUAAUCGAACCAUCUAGUAGCUGGUUCCUGCCGAAGU